This 464-nucleotide ribosomal RNA is filed under the name uncultured bacterium. Its description in RNAcentral is "partial 16S ribosomal RNA". It matches the Rfam family "Bacterial small subunit ribosomal RNA", at positions 28 to 507 of the family's 1533-position model. The record is from RNAcentral.
GACGAACGCUGGCGGCGUGCUUAACACAUGCAAGUCGAACGGAAAGGCCCUGCUUGCAGGGUACUCGAGUGACGAACGGGUGAGUAACACGUGGGUGAUCUGCCCUGCACUUCGGGAUAAGCCUGGGAAACUGGGUCUAAUACCGGAUAGGAGCCAUUUUUAGUGUGAUGGUUGGAAAGUUUUUUCGGUGUAGGAUGAGCUCGCGGCCUAUCAGCUUGUUGGUGGGGUAAUGGCCUACCAAGGCGGCGACGGGUAGCCGGCCUGAGAGGGUGGACGGCCACAUUGGGACUGAGAUACGGCCCAGACUCCUACGGGAGGCAGCAGUGGGGAAUAUUGCACAAUGGGCGCAAGCCUGAUGCAGCGACGCCGCGUGGGGGAUGACGGCCUUCGGGUUGUAAACUCCUUUCGCUAGGGACGAAGCUUUUGUGACGGUACCUAGAUAAGAAGCACCGGCUAACUACGUG